Non-coding RNA from Haemonchus contortus (barber pole worm), 68 nucleotides. The record is from Rfam. Lineage: Eukaryota; Metazoa; Nematoda; Chromadorea; Rhabditida; Trichostrongylidae.
GUGCUGUGAAGAUAAAGAACUCUCUCACUGAAGUCAACCGUGUUGUUUACCUACAUUAUCAGAGCGCU